UGGAAGUGAAUGCCUGUGGUGGCCCUUGU
This 29-nucleotide non-coding RNA is filed under the name Rattus norvegicus (Norway rat). The record is from RNAcentral. Lineage: Eukaryota; Metazoa; Chordata; Mammalia; Rodentia; Muridae.